CACGCCAGCCGGGCCGGGGUGCGGGCGGACGGGGGUGGCGGCUGGCGCGGGUAUGUUGGAGAACCAGAGAACUCCACUGAACAGAGCUGCUGAGGACACUGUCUUCUCCUGGUCACCAUGUCCCCUGAGACCGCUGCAGGGGAUUCUAGCGGUGCCCUGACAGACCCAGCUGGGCCUGGAGCGUGUUACACACUGGCCUGAAUCCCCAAGAAAGCUGCUAUGGCAGAGCGGGACCGAGAGGCCCCCCAGAGAUGCUGCUCCUACCACACGGUGCAGAGGAGGCUCCCUGUCCUCAGGUGGCUGCCCCACUAUUCUCUGGGGUGGCUGCAGCUCGAUCUCAUCGCUGGCGUGACCGUGGGCCUGACUGUCGUGCCGCAAGCGCUGGCCUAUGCCGAGGUGGCCGGCCUGCCAGUUCAGUACGGUCUCUAUUCCUCCUUCAUGGGCUGCUUUGUCUACUGCCUGCUGGGGACCUCAAAAGAUGUGACGCUGGGUCCAACGGCCAUUAUGUCGCUGCUGGUCUCUUCCUAUGUGUUCCAUGACCCUGCCUAUGCCAUCCUGCUGACCUUCCUGUCAGGCUGUAUCCAGCUAGCCAUGGGUCUCCUGCACCUCGGUUUCCUACUGGACUUCGUUUCCUGCCCCGUCAUUAAAGGGUUUACCUUGGCGGCUUCGGUCACCAUUAGCUUCAACCAGGUCAAGAACAUCCUGGGGCUGCACAACAUUCCACGACAGUUUUUCCUGCAGGUGUAUCACACCUUCCAAAGAAUCGGGGAGACCAGGGCCGGGGAUGCUCUCUUGGGGCUGGUCUGCCUGGCAAUGCUUGUGGGGCUCAGGGCGAUGAAAGGCCACAUCCCCAGGAUCCAUCAGGUGGAGCUGUUGUCCGUCAGGAUCAGUCGUCUUAUCCUCUGGGCCACAGCAACAGCUCGCAAUGCACUCGUGGUCCUGUUUGCGGGCCUGGUCGCCUACUCCUUCCAGGUGAUGGGCUCCCAGCCGUUCACCCUCACUGGGGAGACGCCCCAGGGGCUGCCUCCCUUCCAGCUGCCGCUGUUCUCCAAGGUCGAAACCAACAGCACUGUGCCCUUCAGCGAGAUGGUGCAGGACCUGGGAGCUGGACUGGCUGUGGUGCCGCUCAUGGGUCUGCUGGAGAGCGUCGCUAUUGCCAAGGCCUUCGCCUCGCAGAACAAUUACAGAAUCGACCCCAAUCAGGAGCUGCUGGCGAUGGGCCUCACCAACCUCCUGGGCUCCUUCGUCUCCUCCUACCCCGUCACCGGCAGCUUUGGGCGGACAGCGGUGAAUGCACAGACAGGCGUGUGCACCCCGGCAGGGGGGCUGAUAACAGGGACCCUGGUCCUGCUCUCUCUGGCCUACCUGACCUCGCUCUUCUAUUACAUUCCCAAAGCCGCUCUGGCUGCUGUCAUCAUUUGCGCCGUGGCCCCUAUGUUUGACGCCAGGAUCUUCAGAACACUGUGGCGGGUUAAACGGCUGGACCUUGUGCCGCUGUGUGUGACGUUCCUGCUCUGCUUCUGGGAGGUUCAGUACGGCAUCGUCGCCGGCAUUCUGGUCUCCGGCGUUCUCCUGCUCUAUCCCAUUGCCAGGCCCCGGAUCAAGCUUUCGGAGCAGGAGGUGCUUCUCAUGCAGCCUGCGAGUGGUCUGCACUUCCCCGCUGUUGAGUCCCUCGGAGAUGCCAUGCACAGAUGGGCUCUGGCAGUGUCUCCGCCACGCUGUGUCAUCCUGGACUGCACCCAUGUCAGCAGCAUGGAUUAUACCGCGGUGAUGGGGUUGGCAGACCUGCUGCAGGAGUUCAAGAAAAGGGGCGUCACCCUGACCUUCUCUGGCUUGCAGGGCCACGUUCUCCAAGUCUUGCUGUCUGCAGAUCUGGAGGGAUUCCAACAUUUCCCCAGCAUGGAGGAGGCGGAGAAGGGCCAUGGAGCAGAGCUGGAUGGCAGGCGCCGAGUCCUGCUUCACAGCGCCAGCGAGAACAUGCUGCCAGCAUCAGGGCUCAUCCAGUGAGGAUGGGCAGCCCGCCCAGGUGCCGGAGGGUCUCCUUGCCUGAGACUGGCACCUCCUGGAUGCUCUGGAGAAUGGACACGUGCCACCCCCUCACCCCUGCCCUGGGUAGUUCCUAGUGCACUUUAAGGCAAUACAGCCGUGGCGAUGCUAACUGGUGAGGGGACAAAACCAGGUCUCGCCCCUUUGGGCUUGUUUCUCCAUUGCUGGGUCCCGGGGAGCACUGAGCCAUCUGACGUUGUGGGAGCCGGUUGCUAGCUGGUGGUGGGAAGCGUAGUGUUUCCGGGGGAUGGCACUGCCCCCACAGGGGAAGGGGACAUUGCCUUCCAGGGCCCCUUGUACUCCCCUUGGUUUGUUUCCACUGAAUCGCCCUGGCUUUUGGGGAAGGUGGUGGUGGCAGCGGGAUUGGGUGGAGGGUGUCUGAACAUCAGGGGACAAUCGGAGCAGGGACGGGCAGUGGAGAACCCAGCCAAGCCUCCGACGGUCUGUGCAGGCUGCCUGGGGAGUACGGGCAUUACGGAUGCUGGGCCAGAUUGAGACCUGUCGAGUCCGGCUGGGCUCUCUGGCCAGAGCUGAGCUCGGGAGCUUAGUGAGGGCUCUAGCACUUUAGUGACAUUAUGGACAAGGGAAUGAUAGUCCAGAAAGGGAAUUAUGGGAGCGAUGUGGUCUGCAAAGGGGUGGAGGGAGCGCAGCAGCGUCUGGGUGGGAGAUCUGGGCUUUGGAGGAGGUGCUUGGGGCGGGGGCACCAGGACUCAGAUGCCUCAGUUUAAAGGUGGCUUUUAGCUGUCACCAGCAAUAGGAAACAAACUGCCCCCUCCCCACCCCCAUGCACUGCACCCUCUGCAGUGCUCAUCACCCCACCUGCCUGAUAUCACACCCCCACACCACCCUGGUUCCAGACACAACUCCGCACAUUCCUGAGUCCACAGGCAUUGCACACUGGAUCGCCCCAAGGUCCGUCCAGACGAGCAUCCCGUCUCCAGAAGCGGCCAGUACCAGAUGCUUCAGAGGCAGGUGUGAGAAAUCCUGCAGGAGGAAGAUGUGGGAUAAUCUGCCCCCCUUUGAAAAUCUCCUGACUCCUCAUGGAGGUUGGCUGGUGGAGGUUCUCUUCCCAAACUCCGCUUUUAGUAUUUAUUAUUACAACUCUGCAUCUUGUUAUUCACAUAAAUGUCCAACGCCCCUUUGACUUCUAGCCUUUCCCUCUUAAUGCAGCGUUUCAAGGAUACAGUAGUUGUCCUCUGUGACCAAGGACAUGUCUCGGCCACCAGCGUUGGGGCUGAGCUGGGACGCUGCUAUGCUGCACUAGCACGGCUUUGAAACUGCUCUCUAAUGCUUCAGAAUCUGAUUUCCUUUGAAAAGAAGCAAGCCUCUAGCUGCUACGGUUGGGGGAAAACCUCACAAAUGUGAAAUUAGUGCAAAGAGCCUGAAACACUAGCUCGGAGAGGGGAACUGCUCUGCUCAGCUGGGAGGGGCCAGUGAGGAUAAUUGAAAUGUCACCAUUGUUAACUAUUCCAGUCCCCGUGUAAGGAAGGAGGUGGAGGGACACCGCUCUGCACAAUGCUCUGGGGGUGAAUUGUGGUGCAUUGGGGAGAGUCGGCCACUUCUUAUUAUUCUUCCCCAGUCCAGAACAGAGCCGAGCCCAAGGAGCCUCUGGGCACGUGCAAGCCGGAGGAGCCCAGCUGACAUUUUAAAUGUUCACACAAUCUGCUGUGCAUGCUGCCUCGUUCUGGCCACUCACGAAUGACUAAACCCCAGGCACUGCCUGUGACUCAGGAGUCCUUACAGGCAAGAGAUGGAGGGUACCCAGUUACGAGUCCGUACCCCGGGACUUGCCAAGACAUGGCACGUCUCCCCUGUGAUCGAUAGUUCCGCGAAGGGGGCCGUGUGCAGUCUGUGCCGAAAGCUAAGAACUCGCUGGCUGUCAUGGUUAUUGGGGGAAGUAUGGAUGGAAAAUAUCGUAGGCGUGAUGGAACGUGGGAUGUUGUGCUCCAACGCUGCUGGAGGUGAAGCUGCUCACCUAGGCUGAGGUGGUUCUGGGAGCGAACUCAGUGAAGAGGGAGGACAGCUGACAUCUCUCAGCCCAGCCAAGCUUUUACAGUCUAGACAAGGGGCAGGCUCUGGCCCUUUACAGAGCACAAAAGGGGGAACAUUGGGGCAAACGGAAGGUGACAAAAUGCCCCAGGUUAGGAAGAGAGACAAAUGGUCUGGAACUGUGAAACAGAAACAGAAGGCCCCAGAUGGCAUCCAUUAUGGAGGGGACACUCCGCCAGGGUGGGUGUUGUAAGAAACGUCGACGCCAGCUCUCUCGACUGGCCAAGCGCUGUAUGGACUGCCCACUGGGUGAGAAUUACUUCAUUAGACAGGAAAGGAACUCACUCAUAAGUAGCGGCUCUAGAUUGCAGGUUAGAUUUUUCUUUUAUCUGUAACCAGGAGUUUUCAAUCCUUAGACUUGCUUCUAUGUGACUCUCUGUCUUAAGCUUUGUCAGAGAAACGUGUAUAUCAGCUAAGUGCCGGGUGCUAAGGAGAGUGUUGAGCGGAGGCAAAGUGAGGGAACUGUGGGACGCUGCUUCCACGGAGGCAGCAAAUCUGUGUGCACUGUGUCCAGAAGUCGAGGGCCUGGGCACUCAAGUGUAAGGAAAUGGGGUGUACAGAUGGGUCAGAGGGACCUGAACCCCAGGACCAGAGCUUAACUGUGGGGACUAUUUCCAGAGAUUGAGCCACAGUUUAAUUCUACUCUGGCCCCUGACUUGCUUAGGGAGCCUAAGGGUUGGCGUGUGCAUAUUGCCAGCCUGCAGAGGGGAAGAGUGGUCCUUGUGCAGGUUUGCUUUGAGGAUGAGGACUGAUAAGUUAGGUAUAGAGAGAUCGCUUUGUGGAAAGUGUCUCCCCUCCCGUCUUGUAUCAUUUUCCUGUCUGAGCUCACGUGAGAGCGUUGUGAUUGUCUGGUUUCACCCUGCUGUUGUUAUUGGGGUCUUUAGUGCACUGCAUGAGGGACACCACAUUUGCUGUGAUGCUCGGAGGACCUUUCCCAGACCUGGAGAAGAGCUCUGAGUGGCUCCAACGCCUCUCUCUCUCUC
Molecule: RNA transcript, 5078 nt
Organism: Mauremys reevesii (Reeves's turtle)
Lineage: Eukaryota; Metazoa; Chordata; Testudines; Geoemydidae
Gene: SLC26A11
Gene name: solute carrier family 26 member 11
Exons: 18
Source: RefSeq, a predicted model, not a curated record